This 77-nucleotide small RNA is filed under the name Salmonella enterica subsp. enterica serovar Muenchen. Its description in RNAcentral is "partial RtT sRNA". It matches the Rfam family "RtT RNA", at positions 1 to 76 of the family's 130-position model. Rfam says of the family: This family represents a bacterial cis-regulatory element known as RtT RNA. The exact function of RtT is unknown although it is thought that it may be involved in changing the cellular response in relation to amino acid starvation. RNAcentral also lists the same sequence under 6 other names. The record is from RNAcentral. Lineage: Bacteria; Pseudomonadati; Pseudomonadota; Gammaproteobacteria; Enterobacterales; Enterobacteriaceae.
AUAUCUCUCUGUACGGGAAGGAUGAGAAGCUUCGACUAAGGUUCGAUUCGAGCGCAGCGAGAAAGCGUUGCCGCAGG